This is a long non-coding RNA of Mauremys reevesii (Reeves's turtle), 467 nucleotides long. RefSeq lists it as uncharacterized. NCBI's taxonomy places the organism in Eukaryota, Metazoa, Chordata, Testudines, Geoemydidae. The transcript is spliced from 3 exons. The record is from RefSeq and is a predicted model, not a curated record.
GUGAAGGUCCCACCUAUGAGAAUUGUCCAGAAGCCAUAGUCACCCCUGCUGCUUCAGAGGAAGGAGAUUUAAAAAACCAACAACAACCCUCCAGCUGUCAGCUUGGUGUAACUCCACAAGGCCAAACACAGAGAUGUAGCUUGGAGUAAACAGGUGCAACUUCCAUGGAAGUCUCUGGACCAAAUUCAACAACAACAUCAGCAGUGGGGAAGGGACAAGUACCAGUGCCAAGUAGCAAGCAGCCAGCUAGCAUUGCAAUGUGUGUUUAGUGCAACAGUUCCCUAGACAAUCAGAUUACUCAAGGAUCCUCAGGGAACAAAGAGCAGUACUGGACAGUGUAUGCUCUUCAUUACUAGGUAGUAUGAAGAACUUCCUUGUCUCUUUCUUUCAUGUCAAUUUCUGAUAUUUCGCAAUAAACUUAGCAACCGCUUACACAUGACUACCAAUUACACCACACUAAAGUAAUG